GUCUUUUUGAUAAUAAUUUAAAGUCUGGCCUGCCCAAUGAUAAUUUAAAUGGCCGCGGUAUUUUGACCGUGCAAAGGUAGCAUAAUCAUUAGUUUUUUAAUUGAAAACUUGUAUGAAAGGUUAGACGAGAAAAUUACUGUCUCGAUUUUAUUUUAUAAGAAUUUUAUUUUUAAGUUAAAAAGCUUAAAUAUAUUUAAAAGACGAGAAGACCCUAUAGAGUUUUAUAUUAUUAUAAUUUAUUUUUAUAUAAUUUAUAUAAUUAUUAAUAAUAUUUUAUUGGGGUGAUAAUUAAAUUUAGUAAACUUUAUUUUUUUUUUUACAUUUAUUUAUGAUUGUUAUGAUCCAAUUUUUUUUGAUUAUAAGUUAAAAUUACCUUAGGGAUAACAGCGUUAUUUUUUUCAAGAGUUCAUAUCGAAAGAAAAGAUUGCGACCUCGAUGUUGGAUUAAAAUUAAUUUUUGGUGUAGAAGCUAAAUAAUUAAGUCUGUUCGACUUUUAAAAUUUUACAUGAUCUGAGUUUAAACCGGUGUAAGCCAGGUUGGUUUCUAUCUUUAAAUAAAUAGAGUAUUUUAGUACGAAAGGACCAGAUACUUGUAAUAUUUAUUAAUUUAUUGAAUAUUAUUGUUGUUUUGGCAGAUUAGUGCAUUAAAUUUAGAAUUUAAUUAUGUAAUUUAUUACAAAUAAUACUUGUUUUAUAAAGAUUUAAUUUUAAUAGUAAUUAGGAGUAUUUUAUUAAUUAUUUGUGUAUUAAUU
This 751-nucleotide ribosomal RNA is filed under the name Ochthebius biltoni. Its description in RNAcentral is "partial large subunit ribosomal RNA". The stretch from base 1 to 590 matches the Rfam family "Bacterial large subunit ribosomal RNA", at positions 1819 to 2925 of the family's 2925-position model. Lineage: Eukaryota; Metazoa; Arthropoda; Insecta; Coleoptera; Hydraenidae. The record is from RNAcentral.